Molecule: ribosomal RNA, 253 nt
Filed under: uncultured bacterium
Lineage: Bacteria
Description: partial 16S ribosomal RNA
Rfam family: Bacterial small subunit ribosomal RNA
Source: RNAcentral
UACGGGGGGGGCAAGCGUUGUUCGGAAUUACUGGGCGUAAAGGGCUCGUAGGUGGCCAACUAAGUCAUACGUGAAAUCCCUCGGCUUAACCGGGGAACUGCGUGUGAUACUGGAUGGCUUGAGUUCGGGAGAGGGAUGCGGAAUUCCAGGUGUAGCGGUGAAAUGCGUAGAUAUCGGGAGGAACACCAAUUGCGAAGGCAGCUCGCUGGGACGUUACUGACGCUGAGACGCGAAAGCGUGGGGAGCAAACAGG